This is a small nucleolar RNA of Talpa occidentalis (Iberian mole), 104 nucleotides long. RefSeq annotates it as small nucleolar RNA U13. NCBI's taxonomy places the organism in Eukaryota, Metazoa, Chordata, Mammalia, Eulipotyphla, Talpidae. The transcript has a single exon. The record is from RefSeq and is a predicted model, not a curated record.
AUCCUUUUCCGGUUCAUAAGCAUGAUGAUCGGGUGUUCACGCAGCUAUGUGAGAUGUGCCUCCCUUAAACCUUGUUAUGACAUCAGCACAUUACCGUUCUGAUG